ACAUCAUGAUGAUGAUGAUGAUGAUGAUGAUACUGCACUUUUUGGUUCUCUUGCGUUUCAACAAAAGUAUUCAUUAUCACCAUCAUCAUCAUCAUCAUCA
Molecule: microRNA precursor, 100 nt
Filed under: Bigelowiella natans CCMP2755
Lineage: Eukaryota; Cercozoa; Chlorarachniophyceae
Description: miRNA EPrBNAG00000013284
Source: RNAcentral